Molecule: long non-coding RNA, 938 nt
Organism: Micropterus salmoides (largemouth bass)
Lineage: Eukaryota; Metazoa; Chordata; Actinopteri; Centrarchiformes; Centrarchidae
Exons: 2
Source: RefSeq, a predicted model, not a curated record
UGGUUGUAGGCAGUCACUGCCAAUGACGACACUCUUCACGCCACAGGGUGUGGAGUCGCCGACUUCGUGCUGGAUAUCUGUCUGGCGUCGCGAUGCGUCGGCGAGCCUCGAUGGCUGCGGACGAAGGCAGCGUAUGAAAAGUAUUUUUUGCUUAGGAAGGUGCCUAACAGUGAAGUGACCUAUUUUCAAAAAAAAACAAAAAGAAAAUGGACUGGUAUGGGUGUCGUUUUGGGGCAGGAGCACAAACAACCCAAGGUGUAUCCAUCCAUUUGAUAACCACUCCACAAAGGUUAAAUAGAUGGGAUUCCCUGCAAGUCACUCAGAACUGAAGAAGCCUCUUGGAUGAGAGGCGAAACAUCUUCAACCAAGUCUAGUUGCUCUUGAUCUUGAAAGCACUUUGGAUAACUAUUACCUGGAUGACGUUGCUCCUUAUUCAGUGCAGGCAGAGCUUUGAAACACAGCAGAAUUGUUACAGUCUUUUUUAGUAUUUUCUGUCAGGUCCAUGCUGCUUCUGCUUGCAACCAUGAAAUGUAAAACACCUCUUUACUUUCUUUUCUGUGGUCUGAUUUUCAGAAAAAUUCAUGUCACAAUGAAAAAUAAUUCAAACAGCUGUUGAAGACAGAAAGCUGAAUAAUUUACCUUUUGACGUCUUGUUCAAUUAACCAUAAGACAGUUAUUUCAUACAUAAAAAGGAAAUGCAUCUAACAAUGUGUUUGAACUCUUUCACUAAAAUAAGUAACUAUUUAUUAUAUCAAUGUAAAUAAAUGGAUAAUAUAGGAUAUAUUUGAGAAAACAGACAUGAUGUUUCAACAUUUUUUUGCAUUUUUUAAUCUCAUGUCUCAAUAAAAACCACAGGGAAAUUUCUUUUAAAUUUAAAAAUGAAAUAAAUGUUUAAGUAUAUGUAGCAAGUUUUAAUACAAUAAAGUUGUGUGAGUAAC